GAUGAACGCUGGCGGCGUGCUUAACACAUGCAAGUCGAACGAUGAAGCCCAGCUUGCUGGGUGGAUUAGUGGCGAACGGGUGAGUAACACGUGAGUAACCUGCCCUUAACUCUGGGAUAAGCCUGGGAAACUGGGUCUAAUACCGGAUAGGAGCGUCCACCGCAUGGUGGGUGUUGGAAAGAUUUAUCGGUUUUGGAUGGACUCGCGGCCUAUCAGCUUGUUGGUGAGGGAAUGGCUCACCAAGGCGACGACGGGUAGCCGGCCUGGGAGGGUGACCGGCCACACUGGGACUGAGACACGGCCCAGACUCCUACGGGAGGCAGCAGUGGGGAAUAUUGCACAAUGGGCGCAAGCCUGAUGCAGCGACGCCGCGUGAGGGAUGACGGCCUUCGGGUUGUAAACCUCUUUCAGUAGGGAAGAAGCGAAAGUGACGGUACCUGCAGAAGAAGCACCGGCUAACUACGU
This 465-nucleotide ribosomal RNA is filed under the name uncultured bacterium. RNAcentral's name for it is "partial 16S ribosomal RNA". It matches the Rfam family "Bacterial small subunit ribosomal RNA", at positions 28 to 506 of the family's 1533-position model. The record is from RNAcentral.